AUUGAACGCUGGCGGCAGGCCUAACACAUGCAAGUCGAACGGUAACAGGAAGAGGCUUGCUUCUUUGCUGACGAGUGGCGGACGGGUGAGAAAUGUCUGGGAAACUGCCUGAUGGCGGGGGAUAACUACUGGAAACGGUAGCUAAUACCGCAUAACGUCGCAAGCCCAAAGAGGGAGACCUUCGGGCCUCUUGCCAUCGGCUGUGCCCAGAUGGGGUUCGCUAGUAGGUGGGGUAACAGCUUACCGAGGCGACAAGCCCUUGCUGGUCUGAGAGGAUGACGAGCCACACUGGAACUGAGACACGGUCCAGACUCCUACGGGAGGCAGCAGGGGGGAAUAUUGCACAAUGGGCGGAAGCCUUAUGCAGCCAUGCCGCGUGUAUGAAGAAGGCCUUCCGGUUGUAAAGUACUUUUAGCGGGGAGGAAGGGAGUAAAGUUAAUACCGUGGCUAAUUGACGUUACCCGAAGAAGAAGCACCGGUUAACUCCGUG
This 490-nucleotide ribosomal RNA is filed under the name uncultured bacterium. RNAcentral's name for it is "partial 16S ribosomal RNA". It matches the Rfam family "Bacterial small subunit ribosomal RNA", at positions 30 to 507 of the family's 1533-position model. The record is from RNAcentral.